GACGAACGCUGGCGGCGUGCCUAAUACAUGCAAGUAGAACGCUGCAGAGAGGAGCUUGCUCUUCUUGGAUGAGUUGCGAACGGGUGAGUAACGCGUAGGUAACCUGCCUUGUAGCGGGGGAUAACUAUUGGAAACGAUAGCUAAUACCGCAUAACAAUGGAUGACACAUGUCAUUUAUUUGAAAGGGGCAAUUGCUCCACUACAAGAUGGACCUGCGUUGUAUUAGCUAGUAGGUGAGGUAACGGCUCACCUAGGCGACGAUACAUAGCAGACCUGAGAGGGGGAUAGGCCACGCUGGGACUGGGACACGGCCCAGACUCCUACGGGAGGCAGCAGUAGGGAAUCUUCGGCAAUGGGGGCAACCCUGACCGAGCAACGCCGCGUGAGUGAAGAAGGUUUUCGGAUCGUAAAGCUCUGGUGUAAGUCAAGAUCGUGUGGGAGAGUGGAAAGUGCACACUGUGACGGUAGCUUACCAGAAAGGGACGGCUAACUACGUG
This 497-nucleotide ribosomal RNA is filed under the name uncultured bacterium. RNAcentral's name for it is "partial 16S ribosomal RNA". It matches the Rfam family "Bacterial small subunit ribosomal RNA", at positions 28 to 507 of the family's 1533-position model. The record is from RNAcentral.